CCUUAAACCUACAGACACAGCAAAGAAGCACCCACGCAUAGACUAUAUAUCUUGUCGAUCGAGAGAGAGAGAGAGAGAGAGAGAGAGAGAGAGAGAGCGAAUCAAACCAAGUGAAAGUGUAAAGGAAAACAAAAAACCAAAAAGCAAGAAACAAUGGUAGCUGCAACUCCAACCCAAUCUCUUUGUCAUGGCUCUUCUUCCUUGUCCUGGAGGCACAUCUCAUUGGAAAGCUGUCUCCAAUCUUCAAGGUAACUGCUUUUGGGUUUCUCAUUUAGUGCACAAAUUUAUUUCUCUUCUUUUGUUAUUGUUUUUUUUUUUUCCGCUGUGUUGCUGUUGUUUUGGGUUGCAUUGAACCAUCCAAGAGGGAAAGUCCUCAACUUGAAUUUAUUAGUCACAUUGGUGCUCAUGGGUUCGAUUGAGUUAAUGGGUUUCAUUCUCUGGUCCCAAAUGAUGGAAAGAUUUUAUAAAAGGAAGAAGGAAAGAUUCGCAUAUUUGGGUCCUUUUGAAAUUUACAUUUCCAGCAAGUUUUUCUCUUGUUUCAUAUGGGUGGGUAUAUAUCUUUAUUGCUUAGAUAAUUUUGAUAACCCUACCGAAUGCUGAACAAUGUUGCAUUCUGAAAUCUGAAUUUUUGGUGUUUAAUGGGUUCCAUUAUUCCAAGUAUUAUGAAUCUUUGUUGUAUGGGUCACUGUUGCAAAGUGGUGUGGGUUUCUUGAGUUAAUGGUUUGAGAGAGAGAAAUCAUACACUUUGCAAGUACAAAUCAAAUGCCAAUGUGAUAGUAGCUCCUUUGCCUUUCAAUUCAAAACUCUGUGACAUGCUAUUUCAUGACUGAAAGCGCAAAGAACUUUAGGAAACAUAGAAAGCCUUGCCUAAUAAUCUCUACAACACUGGAGCACCCCUUUUCAUCUACCCGCAUCAAAGCAUGUAGUUUGAAACAAGGUGAGAAGGAGCAGUGGAAAUUAAUAUCUGCACCAAGGACAUCUGAUACAAAUAGCUCUGCAGAGUUUGAAAGGGAAGAGAUAUAUAUCUGCUAAGGACCUCCAGGCCACCUCCUGGCUACCCUUAUGUACAAGUUAUAUGGUCAGAAUCACUGUUAAGGCUAGAAUUAAUUACCUUGACUGUAAUAAAUAAUGGAGAACAAAUGCAUCUUGUCAAUAGUAUUCAACUUGAUUUGAAUAUUAAUGGUGUGCAGUGGUUUGAGAGAAGAAUAGUUGCAACGAGCUUAGUGCCCAGUGGCUUUUUUCCCUUUUCUUUCCUGGAGGUUGUUCUUGGUACUGAGUAAAUGGCAUCAAACCAGAAAUUCAAUCUUCGGCUAAAGAAAGCAAUAAAAAGCCUGUGAGGUUUCAAGCGAAACAGAAAGUUGAAGCAGGCGACAAAGGUCUGUUUCUGUGAUGAGGUCCGGAAGUAACCUGAUUAAAUUUAUCAGGAUUCAAUAAUUGCCUCCAUUUAUGUCAUUGUGAGGUUUUUCUGAAGAAGUCGUCCAUAGGCUGGUAGAGCUGAAAGAAUAAGAGGUUAAGUCUAGAGGGGCCACACCUGAAAACUGAUGCCUUGAUUAAGAUAGAUUCCUAUCAGUCUUGGUUCCCCUGUUCUCCUUGUGUGAUUAUAUGGUCUUGUAGGGAAAUGGGAGAUGUUAGGCUUGAAGUCAUCGGACUGUUUUUAUUUACAACUGAAACUUAUUAAGAAGGAAGAACAAUGUUGCUCGAAGGUUUUCAUGUGAAUUGUGUGUGAGAAAAUAGAUGGCUACAAAACUGAUAUAUGAAUGUUGCAAACCUCAGAGUUAUUUCAUGAAAGGCAUCAUUGUUUCCCUAUUAAGUCUGGCUAAAAAGUUGGUUUGGGUGCAUUUGGCUUUUUGACUGUUUUGUGGGCUGCAGAUUGUGCUUUUGUUAAAUUUGAGGAAAUAAUAUUUUCUGUUUAUGGUAUUUGGAGUUGUCUCAUUCAAUUCUGUUGUCUUCAAUGCCAGAGGUAGCAGUGAUGCAUGCUUUAUGGACUUUGAAUGGUUCAAGUUUCAUACAGGAGUGAGCUCGCAAUUCUGCACAUCACUGCUGGAGUACGUUAAGCGAUAAGUGGUGUGUGGAGUAGGGAAUGAAGCUAUUGGUCCGUUGUGCAUUUAAAAAAUGUUACAAUUUGAUAGUUCUUGUGGAAGAAUUCAGAGAUCUUGACGUAAUUUGUAUUGUAGUCGUUGUACUGAAACUCUAUGGUCAUUCCAUAGGCUGAUUCUGUAAUUGUAUUGACUACGUUGUAUCUGAUUCAUCGUGAAGAAAUCUAAAUUUUAUUUUCCC
This 2277-nucleotide long non-coding RNA is filed under the name Prunus dulcis (almond). RNAcentral describes it as "sRNA ncRNA". Lineage: Eukaryota; Viridiplantae; Streptophyta; Magnoliopsida; Rosales; Rosaceae. The record is from RNAcentral.